GCCUGGCUGGCUCAGUCAGUAGAGCAUGUGACUCUUGAUCUCAGGGUCAUAGGUUCAAGCCCCAUGUUGGGCG
This 73-nucleotide transfer RNA is filed under the name Ailuropoda melanoleuca (giant panda). It matches the Rfam family "tRNA". Rfam says of the family: Transfer RNA (tRNA) molecules are approximately 80 nucleotides in length. Lineage: Eukaryota; Metazoa; Chordata; Mammalia; Carnivora; Ursidae. The record is from Rfam by way of RNAcentral.